Molecule: RNase P RNA, 349 nt
Filed under: Candidatus Izemoplasmatales bacterium
Lineage: Bacteria; Bacillati; Mycoplasmatota; Mollicutes; Candidatus Izemoplasmatales
Description: RNase P RNA component class B
Rfam family: Bacterial RNase P class B
About the family: Ribonuclease P (RNase P) is a ubiquitous endoribonuclease, found in archaea, bacteria and eukarya as well as chloroplasts and mitochondria. Its best characterised activity is the generation of mature 5'-ends of tRNAs by cleaving the 5'-leader elements of precursor-tRNAs.
Source: RNAcentral
AUUAUUGGGUAAUCGAGCGCUAUUUCAAGCGUUAGGAAAGUCCAUGCUAGCACAAGCUGAGAUGCUUGUAGUGAUUGUGCUAAACGAACCGAUAAGUUUAGGCACCCUGAUAAAGAGUGACGGCGAAGAAAUGGAUGUUAAAGGCCAAAGUAUUCUUAAAGUGCCACAGUGACGAAACACAUAAAAUAUAUGUGUGUGAAACGGGUAAACCCCUCAAGCUAGAAACCCAAAUAUUGGUAGGGGCACGGCCUUGGAGGAUAAAUGAAUCCAUCCGGCUGACGGUCAAAUGACCGGAGAUAAAUGAUUACCGGCUUUCCAUAUGGCAAGCUACAGAACAUGGCUUAUAGAU